This 518-nucleotide ribosomal RNA is filed under the name uncultured bacterium. Its description in RNAcentral is "bacterial SSU rRNA". It matches the Rfam family "Bacterial small subunit ribosomal RNA", at positions 355 to 866 of the family's 1533-position model. The record is from RNAcentral.
UGGGGAAUCUUGCGCAAUGGGCGAAAGCCUGACGCAGCGACGCCGCGUGAGGGAAGAAGGCCUUCGGGUUGUAAACCUCUUUCAGGAGGGACGAAGCUACUCGGGUGAAUAGCCCAGAGGGUGACGGUACCUCCAGAAGAAGCCCCGGCUAACUACGUGCCAGCAGCCGCGGUAAUACGUAGGUGGCGAGCGUUGUCCGGAUUUACUGGGCGUAAAGAGCGCGCAGGCGGUCGUACAAGUCGCGUGUGAAGGCCCCCGGCUCAACUGGGGAGGGUCACGCGAUACUGUUCGACUCGAAGGCAGGAGAGGGAAGUGGAAUUCCCGGUGUAGUGGUGAAAUGCGUAGAUAUCGGGAGGAACACCAGUGGCGAAGGCGACUUCCUGGCCUGUUCUUGACGCUGAGGCGCGAAAGCUAGGGUAGCAAACGGGAUUAGAUACCCCGGUAGUCCUAGCCGUAAACGAUGGACACUAGGUGUUGGUGGUAUCAACCCCGCAGUGCCGAAGCAAACGCAUUAGUCG